CUCGCCUUGAACGGAUGGUGGCCUGAACUUUUAGUGCACCGUACUUUUCGCUUCAAGUUUUCUUCCCCUAUAUCUGUUCCCAGCAUUAGGAGCCGCUCGCUGCCAGAGAUGCACGCCAUGCCGUAAGUGCAGCAGCAGCAGCGUGACUUGCGGGCGACGAACGCGACCGAUAUACUUAGCUCCCACAGGAGGCGAUGCAAUUGAUGCUGGCAUUAGUAUUGAUGUUUCACUCAUGAUGAUCAUGAGACGUUUGCUUGACAGCUGUUCCAGUUUGCGGACAACUUUUCUGAACUGCAGAGACAGCGAGCUUCGGCAACUCGGACCACCUUUGGUUUGGUGUUGGUUCGACGAGCGGGAACUUUUUCGGUGAAAGUUUUUCCCCUGUGCCAAUGC
Long non-coding RNA from Anopheles arabiensis, 393 nucleotides. RefSeq lists it as uncharacterized. The record is from RefSeq and is a predicted model, not a curated record. Lineage: Eukaryota; Metazoa; Arthropoda; Insecta; Diptera; Culicidae. The transcript has 3 exons.